Molecule: long non-coding RNA, 547 nt
Organism: Polypterus senegalus (gray bichir)
Lineage: Eukaryota; Metazoa; Chordata; Cladistia; Polypteriformes; Polypteridae
Exons: 3
Source: RefSeq, a predicted model, not a curated record
GCGAAGCGCAACAGCGCGGGGCACGGUUCUCGGCUCAGCGGCGUCGGAGAGCGCGCUCCCGACGCAGCUACAGGCAAGCAGUCAGGCAGGACUGCACAGCACAGCGCACUGAAGCGCGCACACGCAGCAGGGGCUGCAAGCAGGCACGCGCAAGCCAGCGCGGAGUACCCAACUGAAGCCGCCAAGGAGCUGCUGUAGGCGUUUUGCAAGGGGGAAGAAAAAAGCCGGGCGGACACAGAGGCCAACUGGCAGACACCGCCAUGCCAGUACGCCACAUGGGAUGCCACCGGAGGGGAGGUGAACUCUGUUGUCCUCGCCCUACAGACCCUUUUGCAAGUUUUUCAGGUGCUGCGGGAAGCGAAGGAGGGGCUGGAGAAGAAGCUCGGUAUCCCGAGCGGGGCCCUGUCUGAAUGGCUUUGUGACGGCGGGUGGCCAGCCUCCCAAUGGCAGGACAAAGCGGUGCAGAACACUGUGAGCGGCGUUUCAGAAAAGAGGAGAACAGUCGUGAGAGUCCUCGGCCAGCUGAAGACCUGCUACGAGGCUUGAG